CAUUACUUACUCUGGUGAGUCAGUGUGGCUGCAGAGAGCCAUAGUUCUCCUGAGCCAGCUAGUCAGGAAGGUAAACAACCAUGUAAUGGAGUGGGUUACCUUAUCAAGUCAUGGCAACACAUUGUCAGUAUAUUACAUGCAUUUUCAACUUCUGAUGAAUCAAGAUGUAGCCCCAUCAUAAACCAGGAAAUAUGAGUGCUCCUAAACAUGGAUGAAGAACAAGAUCCUAGUCUAACUCAGCACAAAGGGCCAAAGCUCCAAAGAAGAGCAAGAGGAGUCAGGAGAUAAAUGACUGAAGACACAACCCUUCCACAUCUGUAUUUAUUCAUUUAGCUAACUGGCUCGAGGCAGCAGCAGAAUUAUGCUCUACUCAUGGUAACCCUUCACCCAUUGAGUUCCAGCGUUUUCUUCUGAGGAGUUGGUUGAAUCCAAGAAUGGAACAUAGAGAAACAACUGCGUCAUUUAGUGACAAGGGAUAGGUGCCUUUCCAGACGUUGCCUAAUGCUACAUCAUCAACAGUGAUGCAGACAAAGUGUAAUCCAGGUCCCUGCUUGUCAUCUGCACCCUACAGAGUCACCUUUCAGCUGGAAACUGAGUUUCGUCACCAAGUAUGACGACAAGGAGCCAGAGGAACUCAACCUUGGGAACACAGCUAACUCACUUUACAGCUUGUUCCUUGAACUCUUCAAAAUCCAAAUUAGAGUCAAAAUCCUGUCUGAUUCCUCUACCUAAAGUUGCUUUAGUUGCAGAAACAUCAACCAAGUAGAAGAAUCCCAGCUUUGAGUUCUGAGCGGCAAACAGCUGUGGACUGAUGGGGAUCCUGGAUGGAGCUGCUACAGUAAAUGGACUAGGUACCAGAUGGAUGGAGAAGCAGGGACCAGCCCUCAUAUGUCAAUCAGCUCUUGACCACUCUCACAAACACCUGAAGGAUGCAAGUAUUGGGAGCAAAGCUUUGUUUUAAAGUCUUACUUUUUAAUUAAUUUUUUGCUGCCCUAUGACACUGUCAUACCUAUAUAUUAUUAAACUUAGAUUAUAUCUGUCUUUCACUGUGCAA
Peromyscus eremicus (cactus mouse) is the source of this 1054-nucleotide long non-coding RNA. RefSeq lists it as uncharacterized. The record is from RefSeq and is a predicted model, not a curated record. NCBI's taxonomy places the organism in Eukaryota, Metazoa, Chordata, Mammalia, Rodentia, Cricetidae. The transcript has 3 exons.